This 501-nucleotide ribosomal RNA is filed under the name uncultured soil bacterium. Its description in RNAcentral is "bacterial SSU rRNA". It matches the Rfam family "Bacterial small subunit ribosomal RNA", at positions 94 to 633 of the family's 1533-position model. The record is from RNAcentral.
AGCGGCGAACGGGUGAGUAACACGUGAGCAACCUGCCCCCAAGUCUGGGAUAAGCCUGGGAAACCGGGUCUAAUACUGGAUGCCCUCGUCGCAUGGAAAGUUUCGCUUGGGGAGGGGCUCGCGGCCUAUCAGCUUGUUGGUGGGGUAACGGCCUACCAAGGCGUCGACGGGUAGCUGGUCUGAGAGGACGACCAGCCACACUGGGACUGAGACACGGCCCAGACUCCUACGGGAGGCAGCAGUAGGGAAUCUUGCGCAAUGGGCGAAAGCCUGACGCAGCAACGCCGCGUGGGGGAUGAAGGCUCUCGGGUCGUAAACCCCUUUCAGUGGGAACGAAUGACGGUACCCACAGAAGAAGGACCGGCCAACUACGUGCCAGCAGCCGCGGUAACACGUAGGGUCCGAGCGUUGUCCGGAUUUAUUGGGCGUAAAGGGCCCGUAGGCGGCUUGGUAAGUCGGGUGUGAAAACCACAGGCUCAAACUGGGGACGCCACCCGAUAC